RNAcentral lists this long non-coding RNA (377 nucleotides) under Drosophila guanche. The record is from RNAcentral. Lineage: Eukaryota; Metazoa; Arthropoda; Insecta; Diptera; Drosophilidae.
GCUCCAGGUUGGAGCUGGGAGCUUGUCUUUUGUUUACUGGCGCAGUGGCACUUGAGAACUUGGAGCCAAUGUGGACACGUUGGACUGUGGACAAGUUGAAGGGUGUGUGAGUUGGCUUCUUGAUUCUUUUCAGUAGAUACGAGACUCUGGUCAAGCAGUGUUAAGUCUGCCAUCCACCCUCUGCCCUGGUUCGGUUCUAUUUUGUUUGUUGUGUGUUCUGCCGCCUUCUAAGUCUUGCGUCUUACGUACGGGCCCGUACGCCGUAAAUUCACUUUGAAAAGCACCUAAAGCCCUGCCCUGGCCCAGGCGGUGCCAUCAAUUAGGGUAUUAAUUGCACAGACGAAAGACGGGAAGCUUCCCUGCCUCCUGUCCAUGAG